RNAcentral lists this ribosomal RNA (3038 nucleotides) under Psittacula krameri (Rose-ringed parakeet). RNAcentral describes it as "eukaryotic LSU rRNA". The stretch from base 1538 to 3038 matches the Rfam family "Eukaryotic large subunit ribosomal RNA", at positions 1891 to 3276 of the family's 3401-position model. The record is from RNAcentral. Lineage: Eukaryota; Metazoa; Chordata; Aves; Psittaciformes; Psittacidae.
CAAUUUGAAAAACAACAGUGCUGAAGAUGAGAGGUGAUAAAAGCAUUGAAAUAAAAUAUCACGUUUCCUAACUAAUCUGAGGAGAAGGAAUGCCAGCUAACUGAUUUAUGAUGUAAUUUGAUGUUCCAAUGAUAUCCACAGAUGCCCCUGUACCCUUAACAUUGUCCAUGCUGCUGCUUUUGCAUGUGAAAUUAACAAUGAUACAAAAUUCUGCGUAUUUUCCUUAUCAUUGUAAUGUAAAAGUUUUUUCCAACAGUGUCACUGCUGAGCCUUUAUAAUUCACAUUUUGAUGUCUACCCCACUUUCAAGAAUUACACGGUACAGAUGCUUUGUAAUGGCCCUUUCGACCAUUACGUACACUUGAAAAAAGUAUCAUUUAGAGUUGGAAGAUGUUACACUCAAAAACUGAGUAUUGGCAAAAGCAAAAACAAUUCUAUACAUAUAUACCUAAGAAUUUACUGUUUGUUCAAGUGCUGUUUUACUUCCCUAGUCCUGCUGGUCACACUAUUUCUGAUACAGGCUUGAAUGUCACCGGCCUCCUUGUGCCUGCCUCGGCACAAGCUGGCUCAUGUUCAGCCAGCUGUCAAUCAGCACCUCAAGGUCCUUUUCUGCCAAGCAGGUUUCCUGCCACUCUUCUCCAAGCCACAUGAUUUGAAAACCAUUUUACCAUAAAGUUAUCAACAAAAAUUUAAAUAUUCCCACUAAAAUGGACACUAGUCACAGUCUAAUUGGCAAAGGUACAAAGGGGCUGAGAAUAUAACACAGUUGGCUGCAUCCUGCUGGUGGAAGCAGCACAGAAGCAGGCGAUGCAGUUAAGAGGACUGUCUAAUUACAAAGGUUAGAUUAUUUAUUGUAUAUCUAGUAGCUAAAGAGUAAAUGGGCAUCAAAAUACUAUUAGAAUAUAACAGAGCAACAUGUCAAACUAGGCAGCCACAAAAUACAAGAAAUGGUAAAGAAAUUAAGGAACGGUAAGAAUAGGAGUAAUAAAAAUAGGUCUGUCUCUUAUCCACUUCAUUGUAACUACAACAGGCAUUUCCUCCUACCCGCCGACUAACAGCUAUUAUGGUAUCUUCUUACCAGAAAAUCUGAGCAGUUUAGCAUCAGUAUAAUAAUAACUUGCGACAUAAUGGGAUUUUUUUUUUUUUUAAGAACUAUACCUAUUUAUUACUUCACAUUUGUGAAUUUACUUUUCUUUCCUGUGGUACAGGAAUUAUUUUUUCAGAAAGGGUAAAACCAGCAUUCAGAAAGUCCCAUAUACACCAGUCUUUAGCUCUCCUUAUAAUUUUAAAAAUCUAGGUUUAGUUUAUAUUACAUAAGAUUUUGGAAAAAAAUUGACACUGUCUUCUACAGUGACUUAAGCUGAAGAAAAGAACAAGGAAAAACAGAACAAACUAAUACAUUCCUGGAAUGUAUUUGCCAUUUGCUGCAAAUUGCUGAAUAAAGGAUUUACUGAACCAGAAUCAUAUCCAUAUUUUCAUAUUAAAUAAUCUUCGGUAAACCUUUCUUCUAUUAAUUUCUCUAAUCAUUAUAUUGCCCUAGGUAUACUGUUGGUAUCCAGGGCACCUAUAAUAAUGACAUCCAGAAUGUAUUCAAAUAUUGUUUUUCCUUUUUCUUAGUUCUAGAACUUGCAUGCUGUAAGUUUCAUUAGAUGCUUCAGAAAUAAUGAAAAAUGGGUCCCUAUUCACCUUCUAUUUGAGGUUUGAAAUUUUUUAAUGUUUUCAUCAUAAUAGUCUUGAUAUCUUUUCAAGCAGAAGAAUCUCAGUUUAUUUAAUGCAUCCAUUUGCAGAAUGAAUUAGAUUAAACUUUUUACUUGCAGUCAUACUUGUUCUUCUUCUACAUUCAUGAUUUUUAGUUCUUUUAUGACCUUGUGGUUUUACACAGUGGUAUAGUAGCCAAAUGNCGCGAUGUGAUUUCUGCCCAGUGCUCUGAAUGUCAAAGUGAAGAAAUUCAAUGAAGCGCGGGUAAACGGCGGGAGUAACUAUGACUCUCUUAAGGUAGCCAAAUGCCUCGUCAUCUAAUUAGUGACGCGCAUGAAUGGAUGAACGAGAUUCCCACUGUCCCUACCUACUAUCCAGCGAAACCACAGCCAAGGGAACGGGCUUGGCGGAAUCAGCGGGGAAAGAAGACCCUGUUGAGCUUUACUCUAGUCUGGUGCUGUGAAGAGACAUGAGAGGUGUAGAAUAAGUGGGAGGCCGGGCGCGCUCGGCGGUGCGGGGCGACCCACCCGCUGGCAUCCCAGCCAUCAGUGAAAUACCACUACUCUGAUCGUUUUUUCACUUACCCGGUGAGGCGGGGGGGCGAGCCCUGAGGGGGCCUCUCACUUCUGGCACCAAGCACCCGGCGCGCGCCAGGCGCGACCCUCUCUGGGAACAGCAGCAGGUGGGGAGUUUGACUGGGGGGGUACACCUGUCAAAGUGUAACGCAGGUGUCCUAAGGUGAGCUCAGGGAGGAUGGAAACCUCCCAUGGAGCAGAAGGGCAAAAGCUCGCUUGAUCUUGAUUUUUCAGUACGAAUACAGAUCGUGAAAGCAGGGCUUCAAAGUCCUUCUGGCUUUUUGCAUUUUAAGCAGGAGGUGUCAGAAAAGUUACCACAGGGAUAACUGGCUUGUGGCGGCCACGCGUUUAUAGCGACGUCACUUUUGAUCCUUCGAUGUCGGCUCUUCCUAUCAUUGUGAAGCAGAAUUCACCAGGCGUUGGAUUGUUCACCCGUUAAUAGGGAUCGUGAGCUGGGAUUAGACCAUCGUGAGACAGGUUAGUUUUACCCUACUGAUGAUGAGCUGUUGCAAUAGUAAUCCUGCUCAGUAUGAGAGGAACCGCAGGUUCAGACCCUUGGUGCGUGCGCUUGGCUGAGGAGCCACUGGCGCGAGGCUACCAUCUGCGGGCUUAUGACUGGUCGCUUCUAAGUCAGUUUUACCCUACUGUUGUGUUGCAAUAGCAAUCCUGCUCAGUAUGAGAGGAACCACAGGUUCAGACCCUUGGUGUGUGCGCUUGGCUGAGGAGCCACUGGCGCGAGGCUACCAUUCGCGGGCUUAUGACUGAA